Molecule: ribosomal RNA, 425 nt
Filed under: Aspicilia verrucigera
Lineage: Eukaryota; Fungi; Ascomycota; Lecanoromycetes; Pertusariales; Megasporaceae
Description: SSU rRNA
Rfam family: Bacterial small subunit ribosomal RNA (bases 128-425)
Source: RNAcentral
AAGGAUUCUUUUUCUUAUUCCACAGGUAAGGAAAAGUCUUCUUUUUAUUUAUUAUUCAAAGUAAAGUAUUCUUUUUAAAAAUAAAAGGUACUAUAUUGUCUAUAAAUGAAAGUGUAAGCAUUCCACCUCAAGAGUAAUGUGGCAACGCAUAAACUGAAAUCAUUAGACCGUUUCUGAAACCAGUAGUGAAGUAUGUUGUUUAAUUUGAUGGUCCGCACAAAACCUUACCACAAUUUGUAUUUAGAAUAGGUUUGUACAAGAGUUGCACGGCUGUCUUCAGUUAAUGUCGUGAGAUUUUGGUUAGUUCCAUAAAAUUAACGUAAACCCUUACUUUAUUUAUAUUAUAAAGUAGUUCACCGCUAUAUUGGAUCUGAUAAAAGGGACUAAGACAAGUCAUCAUGGCCUGAAUAUUGUGGGCUAUAGAC